This is a long non-coding RNA of Carassius auratus (goldfish), 632 nucleotides long. RefSeq lists it as uncharacterized. Lineage: Eukaryota; Metazoa; Chordata; Actinopteri; Cypriniformes; Cyprinidae. The transcript is spliced from 3 exons. The record is from RefSeq and is a predicted model, not a curated record.
AGCACAUACCUGAUGACUUGGGGUACCUUCGAAUCCUGAUAUGGUUCUAUAUCUUAUUCUUUCUGUUUGAGUGUUAUAGAAGAAAGUUGAGUAUGGAAGGAUAUUGUGGAAUGUAUGUAGAUGUUCUACUGUCAGUCGCUGGUGGGAGAGUUUAGCGCUACUCUCUCAUCACUUCAUCCUUAAGGGAUAAUUGUAUUUUUGACUAUCCUUUGAUAGGAGAUCCUUUCUAAUUGUGAAGUUUAUUAUAGUGGACUUGAAAAUGGAAAGAAAUUCCUUUGGUGUUACUCCUCUGGUCAUGCAAUUAUUUUAUGUAAUUCAGUGGGGGUGGAUGUAACAGGGUUAAAAAGAGUACUUAAUUUAAGAGUUUUGAUGUGUGAAUUUCAUAAAAUAAGCAUUUGGUUAAAUUCAUUGGUGUUCAAAGGCUCCCCUCCUGUGGCUAUUAAUGGUACUGCAGACAGUGUAUUUUGUCGCUCUUCUCUUGCCGUACUCCAGCAGAUUUGAGUGUCGCUGCUGUGGUCUUGAAUGUCUGCAGUAGUUUAUCUUCAGCCAAAGUGAUUUGUGCCAUUUUAUUUCCAAAAGAUAAAGGCAAGCACAAGGAAACCCACGUGUGAGUGUGUUUGUUCACGUCUGUU